GACGGAGGGGGCAAGCGUUGUUCGGAAUUACUGGGCGUAAAGGGCGCGUAGGCGGCCUUCUAAGUCAGACGUGAAAUCCCCCGGCUUAACCUGGGAACUGCGUCUGAUACUGGAAGGCUUGAGUAUGGGAGAGGGAUGUAGAAUUCCAGGUGUAGCGGUGAAAUGCGUAGAUAUCUGGAGGAAUACCGGUGGCGAAGGCGGCAUCCUGGACCAUUACUGACGCUGAGGCGCGAAAGCUAGGGGAGCAAACGGG
This 253-nucleotide ribosomal RNA is filed under the name uncultured bacterium. RNAcentral's name for it is "partial 16S ribosomal RNA". It matches the Rfam family "Bacterial small subunit ribosomal RNA", at positions 524 to 776 of the family's 1533-position model. The record is from RNAcentral.